This 485-nucleotide ribosomal RNA is filed under the name uncultured bacterium. Its description in RNAcentral is "bacterial SSU rRNA". It matches the Rfam family "Bacterial small subunit ribosomal RNA", at positions 29 to 502 of the family's 1533-position model. The record is from RNAcentral.
AGUGAACGCUGGCGGCAGGCCUAACACAUGCAAGUCGAGCGGCAGCGCGUCCGACCACCCUCGGGUGGUCGGAUGGCGGCGAGCGGCGGACGGGUGAGGAAUGCAUCGGAAUCUGCCUCGUUGUGGGGGAUAACGUAGGGAAACUUACGCUAAUACCGCAUACGACCUACGGGUGAAAGUGGGGGACCUUCGGGCCUCACGCGAUGAGAUGAGCCGAUGCCGGAUUAGCUAGUUGGCGGGGUAGAGGCCCACCAAGGCGACGAUCCGUAGCUGGUCUGAGAGGAUGAUCAGCCACACUGGAACUGAGACACGGUCCAGACUCCUACGGGAGGCAGCAGUGGGGAAUAUUGGACAAUGGGGGCAACCCUGAUCCAGCCAUGCCGCGUGAGGGAGAAGGUCCUCUGGAUUGUAAACCUCUUUUGGCAGGAACAAACCUGCGCUAUACGCGCAGCUGAGGGUACCUGCAGAAUAAGCACCGGCUAACU